This is a long non-coding RNA of Astatotilapia calliptera (eastern happy), 1964 nucleotides long. Lineage: Eukaryota; Metazoa; Chordata; Actinopteri; Cichliformes; Cichlidae. The record is from Ensembl.
AAAAAAAGGGACUGGCCAUCUCUUGGAUUUAUGUAAGCAUCUUGCAUGUAUUUAACACAAUUGCCUCAUGUUUUAAAGAUAAAUGUAACUAUAUAGUGUAAAAACUACAUGAUAUGCAGAAAGGGUGUAUUAAAUUGUUCAUAUCAUGUUCAGGUGAAGUAAGUCAAUAAGAUAGCAACGUUAAAUCUCGUGAAACCACGCGUGAUUUCAUCUCGCGGGCUUUGGAUCGUGGUUUAAAAAAUGCAUCCAUCUCAGUCAAGUUGAGCAGCCAACUCUACGUUUUUUGGUAUGUCUUGAUUUUUUGAAUUAAUAUUUACCAUAUUUCAGCCAAAUGUAGUUAAACGUCUAAAGUGCCGCCAUGUAACAUGCUAAAAAAGAGCCGUUAGCUUAUUUGCUGUUUUAUCUGUUAUCAAAGAAUUGGCGCUUUUUCAUUUGAAUUUGUCUUUGGCACAAGAGCCGUAAUAUCACAUUAAACCUAAUUACGAGGCACUCAUAACAUAAUUUGGUUUUCUGUGUGAAUAGAUUUGUCAACUGACUCUUCAGUUACAUUGUGUAUUUACUGCACCGUGGUGUUAGUGAGAUUUUGGACAUUGAACAGCUUUAGCUAAUAUCAUCAGCGGUAUUAUGCUAGCUUACAUCCCUACCCCUCCUGCCCUCACCUGCUGUCCUUUUGUUUUUGUUUUUGUUUUUGUUGAUGCACAUUGAGAGACCACAUCUAUUCUGCAUUUCACCAGGAGUCAGCUGAUGGAUUGUGGGUUCAAGGUGUUAUGAUGAAAUGCAGCAUUCCAGUGCAUCCCAACCAUGCCUUUACAGUCAAGGUUUCUGACGGAGCUGAGUUUCUCUCUGACAGUCUGCUGAAAGUGUUUGCAAAGUAAUCGGGGGAACAGGGCACAAAGCUAAAGGAUGUAGCUGCCAUGAUGACAGAUGACAUUAAUGCUCAAAGGGAGUCUCAUCAAAGUGCUCCGCAUCUGUGUGAAAGACAAUUGCAACAUCUUGGUGCAGGAGUUCAUGGACUUGACUGAGGCCACUGCACAGAUUGAGAAAACCACAAUGAACAUCUGUCUCCAGAGGAUGCACCAGGCAAUGACUUUUCUGACGUUGGCAUCAUCAUCGAGGGUAUAGUAGUUCUUCAAGAUCUGGAUAACGUGACCUUUGCAGUAGCCAUGCUGUUUGGACCUUUUUUAUUCCUUCAAUAUGAGUUACCCAUCACAACUCUGCUACACUUUUGAGGUGAUUCAAAGGGUGGUAAUGGAGUUGGAAGCAACUCAGCUCUCAAGAAAAGCUCACAACUAAGACAAAACUGCUCCUGCAACGAAGCUCACUGUUAUGCAUGUGAGGUGACCAGCUCUAGGUGAGAAGACAUUUAAAUCUCACACUUGUUCUGCUGCAUUUUUGAACCUCAAUUCCAGGAACAGAUCGCAGGGUUCAUUUUUAUAUACACUGCAACUGCCAUGAGGACGAGCCGUUUUUUUGUUGUUGUUGUUGUUUGUUUUUCCUUUUGCUCUGUACAAGUUCUCUGUCUGUUUGGCAGCAUUUUUAAAUUUCUCUUUGUAUUUUUUCUUUCUUUUACUAGUGAAGAGAUGUAGCAUGAACAGUUAUGCAGUCUAAAUAUCCCAUAUGGGCCGUGUGAAAUGGUAUUUUCAGUUUCAUUCAGUUGAAGUAAGGAACGUUGAAUAUUUCUAAGUGUGCUGUUUUGAACCAAGAUGUCACAGUAUGAUCAGUGCCGUAAUUUUUGACAGUCACUGUAUCAAUGUUAUUUUUGCAUCUCUUGAAUAAAGGUUUUGACCUGCAAGUGCUAAUUUCUUUAGUUAUUGGGGUAAAAUGGGUAGUGUUAAUAGGAAGGUGUUUGCCAAUUCAGUAACCUAAUUUAAUGUUAAUGGAAACUAACAUUACCUCAAAUUGUUUAGUUAUAAUUGUUGUUUAACUGAAUCUUGACGUUAGAGGCCUUAAAUAGAAUGUUUUGU